Molecule: long non-coding RNA, 2422 nt
Filed under: Elaeis guineensis (African oil palm)
Lineage: Eukaryota; Viridiplantae; Streptophyta; Magnoliopsida; Arecales; Arecaceae
Description: long non-coding RNA (EGUI_LNC075031)
Source: RNAcentral
AGAGAUCCCUUAAUCGCAUGGUGACCCUUCUUCUAGUCCUUUCCUCUUCUCCGACCUCCCCAUAAAUGGAUUGCGACCAAAAAAAAAAGAAGAAAGAUUUAAUUUUGACAUAUUACAUUAUAUACCAGCCAGAAAAAUUUCUCAAAAUCACUUCCUUUGAACUGAAACCAUUUCCCAAUGUCUAGAAGAGAAUAAACAGUUGGAAGUAAAUUAUACAACGAUAAAAAAAAUAUUUAUAAAGACAGGAGAUAAUAACUCGAAAUAGGGUCAUUAGAAGGUGGAGUUGUCUCAAUUUACUUCCUUUAUCCUUGAGAAAAUGAUAUGAUUUCCUCCAUACCAAGCUGUAGUCAUCUCAAUGUACCGAGGAAUUGAGGGUACCAGGGGGCGCCAUGGGAGAAUGGAGCGGAAUUGGGGGGUAGAGAAUAGACUAUAUAUGUACCUCAUUUGGUUCAAUCAUGCUCCACCGUCAUUAUUCAUUUCAACUGCAGGUUUGGAGGUUCUGAUCAUAGUUUUUUCUUUGUUGUAUGUGAUGCAUACUAAAUCUAUCAUUGUAUUUUGUAUUGUUUUUGAUUUCUCCUUUUUUGGUGGCUCAUCAGAUCAGUGGGGGGUUGCUGUUGAAUGGGCUGCAGCCUUCCUUCUCCCAUAAGUCAUCAUCUGAGCGAGCGAAUUCACCGGCAACUGGAUGAACAGUAAGUUUCUUUUCCAUUAUAUUGUUGGCAUUUGAUCUUGGCAUAGGAUUUCUUCCUCUUCCUUCCUCUUCCUUAUGCCGUAUCGUUUGGGUGUAAAGGUUGUUGUUAGAAAGAAAGAACAACAUAAAUAUAGGGGAGGUGGGUAAUUGGGUUACAGAGAAAGAACAGAACAUGACGAGGAGAAAACUGAUCGAUAUUGGAGAGAGAAAGAAUGGAGCAUUAAAAUCCUCGGCAAGAAAAUCAGAUUUUAAAAAUCAUUCUAGAUUGAUUAGGCACAUGUGGUGCGCGUGUUUUUUUUCCGCAUAAAAAAAUAUGUGCACAGGUUGUAUUCGGUAGAGAUUAGCGUAUAGAAGCUGUAUGCGUGCAGGCACCGGUUAAACAGAUGUCAGCACGUCUUUGUUGCUAUGCGGGUGACCGUGAUGGAAAAAAAAAAAUCCCCGUAGGUUGUCCCGCAUGGAGGAAAAAAAUGCGAUCAUUGCUGGUGGGAAAGUAGGAGGGCGAGGGGGAGAGGAGAUGGGCAAAAGAUGGAAGAAGAAAAGUUGGGAUAGGUAAUGGGGUGAAAAGAGAGGAAAAACAUAAGGAUGCUGCUAGCGUUCCAAAUGAAGAAGGGAGACUAUGAAUACGUAGGAGGAUUGGAGGUUUAGUUGGAGAUGUGGAAGGGGAGAGUGGGCCCUCAAUUUGAGAUGGGGAGGGCAAGAGGAAGGUCUUCCAUGGCUAGUGGCAACAAGGGUGGCAUCGGAGAAGAUUGUGGGUUCUGAACUCUCCCUGUACAGUUAUUUAAAAAAUAAAAAAAAAUGUACGGUGGCCGGGUAGCCCCCCACAUCGUCAUAAAUUGAAAAUUUUGUAGCUACAGAAAAUCCUUUCGACCAAAAAUUCCCAAACCAUGCUUCUACCAAGUUUAAGCUCUCAAAACCUCGAGGGACCAACUCACACUGCCACAAGUCGCACAAAAUCACAUAUGCUUGAGAGAAAAACCUAAUCGGAACCAAUGAAACCCCUCUAAUCUCUCUCAAGUGCUCUCCUUUCCCAAUCGGAACCUAAGAAACCCCUCUAAUCUCUCUCAAGUGCGAUCUUUGAAAAAAAAAAUGAAAUGAAAAGAAAAAGAAGCGAAAAAGCAAAAAAAGAUGAUCAUAUGUGGGGAUCGGCCUUAUCCUUAAUUUUUUUUUUCCGUCUUUCCUUUGUUUUCGUUGAUUUUUUCCUAUAUUUUCCCCCAUUUUUCCUUUAUUUUUUCCGUUCUCAGGAGUCCCAACCGGGUGGAGGCUUGGAGCGGCCGAAUAGGGAAGCUGGUUGGGGUUUUGCGUUGGGUAUUUCCUUUCUUUUUUCCAAUCGGGUGGGAGGCGGAGAGAGAGAGGAGGGGUCGGAUGGAAGCUUACCUGAAAGAGACGAGGCUGUAGAUCGCCGGAAAGCAAAGCACCUGAGGGAGAUCGGAGGGGACGACCGACGCUCGUAACGAUUGGGAGGAAGGCGACGGCGGAGACUGGUGGGAGGUGGCGGCGAGGGACGCAGGAAGGACGUCGGCGUCUUUAUCCAUGGGAAGGAAAGCACCCGAGGGAGAUUAGUAGAGGGUGAAGGCCGAUGCCGGUGACGACGGGGAGGAGGGUGAGGGCCAUCGGGAGAGGGAUUUCGUAAGGGCUUUUUGGGAAAUAAAAAUAAUAAUGUUGUAUUAAUUUGUUGGAAAAAAAAUAUAAAAGAAUAAUUUUAAAAAUAAAUUUAUUUUAUUAAAAAAUUUCUCC